CCUACGGGUGGCAGCAGUGAGGAAUAUUGGUCAAUGGACGAGAGUCUGAACCAGCCAAGUAGCGUGAAGGAUGACUGCCCUAUGGGUUGUAAACUUCUUUUAUAAAGGAAUAAAAUGAGGCACGUGUGCCUUUUUGCAUGUACUUUAUGAAUAAGGAUCGGCUAACUCCGUGCCAGCAGCCGCGGUAAUACGGAGGAUCCGAGCGUUAUCCGGAUUUAUUGGGUUUAAAGGGAGCGUAGAUGGGUUGUUAAGUUAGUUGUGAAAGUUUGCGGCUCAACCGUAAAAUUGCAAUUGAUACUGGCAGUCUUGAGUACAGUUGAGGUAAGCGGAAUUCGUGGUGUAGCGGUGAAAUGCUUAGAUAUCACGAAGAACCCCGAUUGCGAAGGCAGCUUACUAAACUGUGACUGACAUUGAUGCUCGAAAGUGUGGGGAUCAAACAGGAUUAGAUACCCGUGUAGUC
This 460-nucleotide ribosomal RNA is filed under the name uncultured bacterium. RNAcentral's name for it is "partial 16S ribosomal RNA". It matches the Rfam family "Bacterial small subunit ribosomal RNA", at positions 338 to 795 of the family's 1533-position model. The record is from RNAcentral.